GGAGGGGUUCCAGAGUGGCCAAAUGGGGCAGACUGUAAAUCUGUUGUCAAUGACUUCGAUGGUUCGAAUCCAUCUCCCUCCACCA
This 85-nucleotide transfer RNA is filed under the name Clostridiales bacterium. Its description in RNAcentral is "tRNA-Tyr". It matches the Rfam family "tRNA". Rfam says of the family: Transfer RNA (tRNA) molecules are approximately 80 nucleotides in length. Their secondary structure includes four short double-helical elements and three loops (D, anti-codon, and T loops). Lineage: Bacteria; Bacillati; Bacillota; Clostridia; Eubacteriales. The record is from RNAcentral.